RNAcentral lists this transfer RNA (77 nucleotides) under Bacillota bacterium. RNAcentral's name for it is "Firmicutes bacterium (anaerobic digester metagenome) tRNA-Arg". It matches the Rfam family "tRNA". Rfam says of the family: Transfer RNA (tRNA) molecules are approximately 80 nucleotides in length. The record is from RNAcentral. Lineage: Bacteria; Bacillati; Bacillota.
GCGCCCGUAGCUCAGCAGGACAGAGCAACGGUUUCCUAAACCGUGUGUCGGAGGUUCGAAUCCUUCCGGGCGCGCCA